UGGUCAUUGUUGUUUUCAAUUGUCAUGAGAGUGGGUUAAGUCCCGGAAAGAGCGCAACCCUUGAUUUUAGUUGCCUCAUUUAGUUGGGCACUUUAAGGUGACUGCCGGUGACAAACCGGAGGAAGGUGGGGAUGAAGUCAAAUCAUCAUGCCCCUUAUGACCUGGGGUACACACGUGCUACAAUGGACGGUACAAAGAGCUGCAAGACCGCGAGGGGGAGCUAAUUUCAUAAAACCGUUUUCAGUUCGGAUUGUAGGCUGCAACUUGCCUACAUGAAGCUGGAAUUGUUAGUAAUCGCGGAUCAGCAUGCCGCGGUGAAUACGUUCCCGGGCCUUGUACACACCGCCCGUCACACCACGAGAGUUUGUAACACCCGAAGUUGGGGGGGUAACCUUUUGGAGCCAGCCGCCUAAGGUGGACAGAUGAUUGGGGG
Molecule: ribosomal RNA, 433 nt
Filed under: Bacillus sp. CP
Lineage: Bacteria; Bacillati; Bacillota; Bacilli; Caryophanales; Bacillaceae
Description: bacterial SSU rRNA
Rfam family: Bacterial small subunit ribosomal RNA
Source: RNAcentral